This is a non-coding RNA of Ochotona princeps (American pika), 602 nucleotides long. The record is from the annotation of a RefSeq genome assembly. Lineage: Eukaryota; Metazoa; Chordata; Mammalia; Lagomorpha; Ochotonidae.
CCCUGACCUAGGCAUCUGGCCACCAGAUCCUCACUUGGCUGCCUGCCCUGAGGACACGGCCGUCGGACAGGAUGUCACUGCUGGAAGCAUUUGCCUUCUUCUCCUUGUUGGCCUCUGGACUUGGAUUAUCAAAUGUGGAGCAGUCACAGAUAUCUGUAUCUGCAAAAGUAAUGGGAAGUACUGCAAUAUUUUGCAAGGUAUCAAGUACAACAUUUGACACUGAAACCAUCUACUGGUACAGGCAGAAACCAAAUCAGGGUUUGGAGCACCUGAUUCAGAUUGCCUCAAUAAAAUCCCCAGUUUACACUAGCUUCAGUGGGAAGCGCAACAAAGCUGAAGCAAAAAAGGAUUCUCAAACUCUCUCUUCAACCCUGACCAUAAACUUCCUAGAAAAAGACGAUACAGCCACUUACUACUGUGCUGGCUGGUCUCACAGUAUUUGAACUAUCAAAACAUUCUGCACAAGAUCUGUGCCCACCACAUCCUUCCCAAAAGAGGCAAGUACUUCAGCUCCCCAGCUGGGCUUCUACCCUCAGGCUUGCUUUCUCUGAAGAUCUUUCUAGGCUUUCUAGGAAGCCAUCAUGCCUUGUGCCCACACAGCA